GUUUCUCCUAAGACCGGUUUGGGGGUUACUUUGUCUGGCUCCGCGGCAUCAGGGAGUCCACCGACAACUUCGUCUCCAACGUUGUUGAAUAUCGAUUGCAGAUUUACAAAAUCUUCUAUUACUAUAUUUUAGAGGUCAAAACGGGUUAUUACGGGUCGAGGCGUGUUUCCCAGACACUUCUCUUAAAGUAUAAUAUAGGAACCCUUAUGCAUUAAAAGCUCACUUUUGAUCCAUAUGACCAAUUUGACCCGUUUUAGCUGUUUUUUUAUUUGACCCUUUUGACCCGUUCAAGAUAAAGCACAACCCGAAUGGGUCAAACGGCACGUGAUGACCCGUAUGAGGUUCAGCUAACUAUACCAGUGGAGGGUUAUGAUCCCAUCCAGUUUAGUCUUACAAAAAUGUGCGAAUCCAAGCAAAAUGAAGCAGGAACAUCUUCGAAAGGAUGGGCUCUAUUUGGAAUCUUUUCUUGCAUGAUCUUCAAGAAAAAGUGAGAGAAGAUAUGGGACCUAAUCACCCUUCUCAACAUGUCAUGGCUUAUACUGCUCUUAUACGUUAAACUCAAAAGAGAUUAUGAUAGUUUCUGUAUGGCAGUUUUCUUUGUAAUUCUGUAUCCAUCUAUUUCAAUUUUGAAAACAAAAGUAUACCUGAUACAUUGUGUUGUAACAGAAGCCACUUGGGUAUAUUUUGACAAAAUCCCAUUGUGUUAGUAUUUUUAUAAUUUCUUUUCGAAA
Molecule: long non-coding RNA, 731 nt
Organism: Helianthus annuus (common sunflower)
Lineage: Eukaryota; Viridiplantae; Streptophyta; Magnoliopsida; Asterales; Asteraceae
Exons: 4
Source: RefSeq, a predicted model, not a curated record